Molecule: transfer RNA, 74 nt
Filed under: Clostridium algidicarnis DSM 15099
Lineage: Bacteria; Bacillati; Bacillota; Clostridia; Eubacteriales; Clostridiaceae
Description: tRNA-Ala
Rfam family: tRNA
About the family: Transfer RNA (tRNA) molecules are approximately 80 nucleotides in length. Their secondary structure includes four short double-helical elements and three loops (D, anti-codon, and T loops).
Source: RNAcentral
GGGGGUAUAGCUCAGUUUGGGAGAGUGUUUGAAUGGCAUUCAAAAGGUCGGGGGUUCGAUCCCCCCUAUCUCCA